AUUGAACGCUGGCGGCAGGCCUAACACAUGCAAGUCGAGCGGUUGAAGGUUGCUUUCUCCUGUUUUCAGCUUCGGACUGUUGUGUAAUUCCUAUUAAUCUGCCUUUUAUUUUUUUAUUACUUCCUUUAACGGGCUCUAAUACCGCAUACGUCCUUAGUUAGUAAGUUUGGUAUCUUCGUACCUCACUCUAUCAUUUGUUCCUAGGUCGGAUUAGCUAGUUGGUGUGGUAAAGGCCUACCAAGGCGACGAUCCGUAACUGGUCUGAGAGGAUGAUCAGUCACACUGGAACUGAGACACGGUCCAGACUCCUACGGGAGGCAGCAGUGGGGAAUAUUGGACAAUGGGCGAAAGCAUGAUCCAGCCAUGCCGCGUGUGUGAAGAAGGUCUUCGGAUUGUAAAGCACUUUAAGUUGGGAGGAAGGGCAGUAAGAUAAUACCUUGCUGUAUUGACGUUAACAACAGAAUAAGCAACGGCUAACUUCGUG
Molecule: ribosomal RNA, 484 nt
Filed under: uncultured bacterium
Lineage: Bacteria
Description: partial 16S ribosomal RNA
Rfam family: Bacterial small subunit ribosomal RNA
Source: RNAcentral